AGAAAAAGUUUGCUGAUCCAAGCUCUUGUUGACCAAAUGGGUCCCAGUUAACUUUCACUUUUGCAAAAUCUAGAAUAGCAGUUUAGUAUAUAUCCGCAGACCCGAUGCCUUUGUGAAGAUUCCAAACACAGAGGGAUUUGAAGCAUCCUCUUGGGCCAUCCCAACAGAAAACUGCAUUAGAAGGGGAGAAGUUGGUAAGCGUUUGCUGUGGAGCCAUGUGAGCACAAUCGCUUCUGGAGAACAAUAGAUAAACCUAAAUAAGCACAGGUGGACCUUCUGCAAAAAUCAACUCAGAAUGGAAAAUGGAUUUCAAUGCAAAACAUAAAACUAUAACACGUUUAGAAAAAAAAUUGGGGGAAAGUCUUGGGAUCUAGGACUAGUCAAAAGCCUUGGAUCUUAGACUUGA
Long non-coding RNA from Prionailurus viverrinus (fishing cat), 406 nucleotides. RefSeq lists it as uncharacterized. The transcript is spliced from 3 exons. NCBI's taxonomy places the organism in Eukaryota, Metazoa, Chordata, Mammalia, Carnivora, Felidae. The record is from RefSeq and is a predicted model, not a curated record.